Molecule: small RNA, 591 nt
Filed under: Drosophila pseudoobscura pseudoobscura
Lineage: Eukaryota; Metazoa; Arthropoda; Insecta; Diptera; Drosophilidae
Description: GA31917
Source: RNAcentral
UUUGAAUCGCAAAGGCGGCAAGGGGCCGUUGUGCUGGUGCGAUUUUCAGUGCAGACAAAUACCAUUUGAAACGUACGCGACAUUUGAUUGAAAAGCGUUGCAGGUUGUUGGCCAUAAUGACGGAAGUAAUUUCCGCAAGUGUAACCUCAAGAGCACCCUGGAGCUGCCCAAGAGUAGCUGCAAUCUGGCUACGGGAUCGAAAACGUCCAAAAGACGCUGCUAUCGCUGAUACAUUCCCAAUCCGUUGCUCCGUUGCAAGUAGGCGAAAGUGCUCCUGGAUAUAUAUCAAACGUCUACGAUGACGGGACGACCUUUGCGAUUCAAGUCCUGGCGGUCUAGAGACCGAUGAAUGACGUGGAAUGACGAAAUAUCUUAAUUCAAUCUAUUUUUGAAGAACAGUGCUGCUCUGCUAGAUUUGUAAAAAAAUGUUGGCGGACAUUCAAAAUGUAGAUUUCUCAUGUAUUUAAUAAUUAAAUCAUUAACAAUACAGUGUCUUGCUUCAAUAGAUAAAACAUGACAUGUGAGCGCUUAGAUUAGGCCUUCUUCUUGGCAAAGCCCAUUGUGUAGAUCAUAUGGACAAUGCUAAUUAGU